CGGUCUGAUGCAGCGACGCCGCGUGAGUGAAGAAGUAUUUCGGUAUGUAAAGCUCUAUCAGCAGGGAAGAAAAUGACGGUACCUGACUAAGAAGCACCGGCUAAAUACGUGCCAGCAGCCGCGGUAAUACGUAUGGUGCAAGCGUUAUCCGGAUUUACUGGGGUGUAAAGGGAGCGUAGGUGGCAAGGCAAGCCAGAAGUGAAAACCCGGGGCUCAACCGCGGGAUUGCUUUUGGAACUGUCAUGCUAGAGUGCAGGAGGGGUGAGCGGAAUUCCUAGUGUAGCGGUGAAAUGCGUAGAUAUUAGGAGGAACACCGGAGGCGAAGGCGGCUCACUGGACUGUAACUGACACUGAGGCUCGAAAGCGUGGGGAGCAAACAGGAUUAGAUACCCUGGUAGUCCACGCGGUAAACGAUGAAUACUAGAUGUCGGGUAGCACAGCUAUUCGGUGUCGUCGCAAACGCAAUAAGUAUUCCACCUGGGGAGUACGUUCGCAAGAAUGAAACUCAAAGGAAUUGACGGGGAA
RNAcentral lists this ribosomal RNA (525 nucleotides) under uncultured bacterium. Its description in RNAcentral is "bacterial SSU rRNA". It matches the Rfam family "Bacterial small subunit ribosomal RNA", at positions 379 to 920 of the family's 1533-position model. The record is from RNAcentral.